This 403-nucleotide ribosomal RNA is filed under the name uncultured bacterium. RNAcentral's name for it is "partial 16S ribosomal RNA". It matches the Rfam family "Bacterial small subunit ribosomal RNA", at positions 28 to 526 of the family's 1533-position model. The record is from RNAcentral.
GACGAACGCUGGCGGCGUGCCUAAUACAUGCAAGUCGAACGCAGUGGGGACGGGUGAGUAACACGUGGGUAACCUCCCAUCAGAGGGGAUAAUACUUGGAAACAGGUGCUAAACCGAUACUGAUGGAUGGACCUGCGGUGCAUUAGCUAGUUGGUGAGGUAACGGCUCACCAAGGCCACGAUGCAUAGCCUGUCUGAGAGGGUGAUCGGCGGCACUGUGACUUAGACACAAGCGAGACUCCUACGGGAGGCAGCGGUGGGAGAUCUUCGACAAUGGGCGAAAGUCUAACAGAGUAACGGCGCGUGAGUGAAGAAGGUUUUCGGGUCUUAAAACUCUGUUGUUAGAGAAACGGUAUCUUACCAUAAUGCCACGGCUAACUGCGUGCCAGCCGCCGCGGUAAUUC